This 445-nucleotide ribosomal RNA is filed under the name uncultured bacterium. RNAcentral's name for it is "bacterial SSU rRNA". It matches the Rfam family "Bacterial small subunit ribosomal RNA", at positions 330 to 792 of the family's 1533-position model. The record is from RNAcentral.
UCCAGACUCCUACGGGAGGCAGCAGUGGGGAAUAUUGCACAAUGGGGGAAACCCUGAUGCAGCGACGCCGCGUGAGUGAAGAAGUAUUUCGGUAUGUAAAGCUCUAUCAGCAGGGAAGAAAAUGACGGUACCUGACUAAGAAGCCCCGGCUAACUACGUGCCAGCAGCCGCGGCAAUACGUAGGGGGCAAGCGUUAUCCGGAUUUACUGGGUGUAAAGGGGGCGCAGACGGCAAUGCAAGCCAGGAGUGAAAGCCCGGGGCCCAACCCCGGGACUGCUCUUGGAACUGCAUGGCUGGAGUACAGGAGGGGCAGGCGGAUUUCCUAGUGUAGCGGUGAAAUGCGUAGAUAUUAGGAGGAACACCAGUGGCGAAGGCGGUCUGCUGGACAGCAACUGACGCUGAGGCGCGAAAGCGUGGGGAGCAAACAGGAUUAGAUACCCCCGUA